CAAAAUGUAGCUUAAUUUAAAGCCCCUUGCUUACACCAAGACCUUGUCCGUUAAACCCGGACCAUUUUGAG
Molecule: transfer RNA, 71 nt
Filed under: Platymantis adiastolus
Lineage: Eukaryota; Metazoa; Chordata; Amphibia; Anura; Ceratobatrachidae
Description: tRNA-Val
Source: RNAcentral